GAUGAACGCUGGCGGCGUGCCUAAUACAUGCAAGUCGAGCGAACAGAUCAGGAGCUUGCUCCUUUGACGUGGGCGGCGGACGGGUGAGUAACACGUGGAUAACCUACCUAUAAGACUGGGAUAACUUCGGGAAACCGGAGCUAAUACCGGAGAAUAUUUCGCACCGCAUGGUUGGAUAGUGAAAGAUGGUGGUGCUGUCACUUAUAGAUGGACCCGCGCCGUAUUAGGUGGUUGGUAAGUUAAUGGCUUACCAAGGCGACGAGACGUAGCCGACCGGAGAGGGUGAUCGCCGACAUGAGAGGGGAGCCGCGCUCCAGGCGACUACGGGAGGCCGCAGUAGCGAACCUGACGCAGUGGGCGAAAGCAUGACGGAGUAGCGCCGCGUCAGUGAUGACGGUCUUCGGUUCGUGAAACUCUGUUACUAGGGAAGAACAUACGUGUAAGUAGCUGAGGACGGCUUGACGGUACCUGAUAAGAAAGCAACGGCUAACUACGUG
RNAcentral lists this ribosomal RNA (497 nucleotides) under uncultured bacterium. RNAcentral's name for it is "partial 16S ribosomal RNA". It matches the Rfam family "Bacterial small subunit ribosomal RNA", at positions 28 to 507 of the family's 1533-position model. The record is from RNAcentral.